GGGCCCGCACAAGCAGCGGAGCAUGUGGUUUAAUUCGAAGCAACGCGAAGAACCUUACCAGGUCUUGACAUCCAGUAAAGCCUGUAGAGAUACAGAUUCCCUUCGGGGGUACUGAGACAGGUGGUGCAUGGUUGUCGUCAGCUCGUGUCGUGAGAUGUUGGGUUAAGUCCCGCAACGAGCGCAACCCUUGUUGAUAGUUACUAACGCGUGAAGGUGAGGACUCUAUCAAGACCGCCGGGGACAACUCGGAGGAAGGUGGGGACGACGUCAAAUCAUCAUGCCCCUUAUGACCUGGGCUACACACGUGCUACAAUGGCCGACACAGAGAGGAGCGAACCCGCAAGGGGGAGCAGAUCUCAAAAAAGCGGUCUCAGUUCAGAUUGUGGGCUGCAACCCGCCCACAUGAAGGAGGAGUUGCUAGUAAUCGCGAAUCAGCAUGUCGCGGUGAAUACGUUCCCGGGCCUU
This 465-nucleotide ribosomal RNA is filed under the name uncultured bacterium. RNAcentral's name for it is "bacterial SSU rRNA". It matches the Rfam family "Bacterial small subunit ribosomal RNA", at positions 917 to 1382 of the family's 1533-position model. The record is from RNAcentral.